Molecule: long non-coding RNA, 1169 nt
Organism: Coccinella septempunctata (seven-spotted ladybird)
Lineage: Eukaryota; Metazoa; Arthropoda; Insecta; Coleoptera; Coccinellidae
Exons: 2
Source: RefSeq, a predicted model, not a curated record
UUUCAGUGCGUUAUAAAAAGGUCCUGGCAUUGGACUCGCCGUAUUGCGAAUUCCAACCUUUAUCCCAGAGAUACCAAGACGCCUCACACUGCAUCGCAGCUAUCUGCGGGUACAUCCACGACGUCGUCGUCACGACGCGGAGUCUAGGAGGGGGAAAGGUCUCCUCUCGCGAGUCGCGUUUGGAAAUCAUCCAGACGCUGCAUCCACAGUCCGGCACGGAGAGCCCUUAGGGCGUCUCGUGUGACUUUGGUCUGCUGGAGUGGCGUCUAGAGUUUGUCGCUCCAGUUUAAAAAUUACUAACCACAUGUAGAAGUUUAGGACGUUUCGUGACAGUAGUUUUAGUUUCGAUGAAGCUCUAUAUAAUAUGAAGGAGCACAGUGGAGAAUUAUUAAAAGAAAGAAAGACAUCAUGUCCAGUAGACCCAAUUUGGAUGCGACCUCCUAGGACCUGAAGGACCUUGCUACCGAAUUAUGCAUGUCUCUGAUCAAGACAGCCGUCUUCGAAGAUGAUGUCGACAGAAGAGUAUCAAUAUUAGCUAUUGUGUCGAGCUAAAAUUGAACCAAUCUUUUCGUAAUUCUCCUUUUCGAAAAAGCUUCGAUAUAUAAUAUAUAAUCAAGAUAUCAUAUUUCCGUCCCGAUUUGUAUAUACUGGAUAGUUAAUUGUAACUUUAGUUGAUAAUAAGAUAAGAAACCUGGAUGAAAUUUGUUAUCUUCCUAUUAUUCAAUGUAUUAUGUAGAGCUUCUUCUAGUUGCUUUAAUAUUUAACAUUAUGCUUAAGAAUAUAUACCCUCUGAUUUGAUUUGAUGAUAGAGAAACUAGAUGAAAUUGUAUAAUUUAGGAGAGUUAUUUUAGUAUUCAACUGUGUAUAUUGAGAAGUAAUUCGAACUGCAUGUUAUUUUAUAAACAUAUACAAUAACGUAAAGUUUUUAUAUAUUGAUAUAUGAAUGAAUAGAAGAGUCAAUUUGUGAAAGCAAAAUAGUUGUCUACAAUUUCCGAUUUGGGUAGAGUGAAAAGUUCAAAAAUUACCACAUGCAGGAUUACCUCAUUGAUAAUACAACGCUUUUGAAACAGUGAAACAACUAUAGUGCUUAUUUCAAUAAACGCUGAAAUAGAAAAGAAUAUGAGAAGAAUACAGUUAUAAUAUCCAUCCAAAUAAAAUUGUUAAAAACA